AUUGAACGCUGGCGGCAGGCCUAACACAUGCGAGUCGAGCGGAUGAAGGGAGCUUGCUCCUGGAUUCAGCGGCGGACGGGUGAGUAAUGCCUAGGAAUCUGCCUGGUAGUGGGGGAUAACGUCCGGAAACGGGCGCUAAUACCGCAUACGUCCUGAGGGAGAAAGUGGGGGAUCUUCGGACCUCACGCUAUCAGAUGAGCCUAGGUCGGAUUAGCUAGUUGGGGGGGUAAAGGCCUACCAAGGCGACGAUCCGUAACUGGUCUGAGAGGAUGAUCAGUCACACUGGAACUGAGACACGGUCCAGACUCCUACGGGAGGCAGCAGUGGGGAAUAUUGGACAAUGGGCGAAAGCCUGAUCCAGCCAUGCCGCGUGUGUGAAGAAGGUCUUCGGAUUGUAAAGCACUUUAAGUUGGGAGGAAGGGCAGUAAGUUAAUACCUUGCUGUUUUGACGGUACCAACAGAAUAAGCACCGGCUAACUUCGUG
This 484-nucleotide ribosomal RNA is filed under the name uncultured bacterium. RNAcentral describes it as "partial 16S ribosomal RNA". It matches the Rfam family "Bacterial small subunit ribosomal RNA", at positions 30 to 507 of the family's 1533-position model. The record is from RNAcentral.